GUACCAGACUCCUACGGGAGGCAGCAGUGGGGAAUAUUGCGCAAUGGGGGAAACCCUGAACCAGCAACGCCGCGCGAGGGAAGACGGUUUUCGGAUUGUAAACCUCUGUCCUCUGUGAAGAUGAUGACGGUAGCAGAGGAGGAAGCUCCGGCUAACUACGUGCCAGCAGCCGCGGUAAUACGUAGGGGGCAAGCGUUAUCCGGAUUUACUGGGUGUAAAGGGGGCGCAGACGGCGAUGCAAGCCAGGAGUGAAAGCCCGGGGCCCAACCCCGGGACUGCUCUUGGAACUGCGUGGCUGGAGUGCAGGAGGGGCAGGCGGAAUUCCUGGUGUAGCGGUGAAAUGCGUAGAUAUCAGGAGGAACACCGGUGGCGAAGGCGGCCUGCCGGACUGCAACUGACGUUGAGGCCCGAAAGCGUGGGGAGCAAACAGGAUUAGAUACCCUCGUAU
This 448-nucleotide ribosomal RNA is filed under the name uncultured bacterium. RNAcentral describes it as "bacterial SSU rRNA". It matches the Rfam family "Bacterial small subunit ribosomal RNA", at positions 328 to 793 of the family's 1533-position model. The record is from RNAcentral.